RNAcentral lists this transfer RNA (81 nucleotides) under Aspergillus nidulans. Its description in RNAcentral is "tRNA-Ser". It matches the Rfam family "tRNA". From Rfam's summary of the family: Transfer RNA (tRNA) molecules are approximately 80 nucleotides in length. Their secondary structure includes four short double-helical elements and three loops (D, anti-codon, and T loops). Lineage: Eukaryota; Fungi; Ascomycota; Eurotiomycetes; Eurotiales; Aspergillaceae. RNAcentral also lists the same sequence under 1 other name. The record is from RNAcentral.
GUCAGUGUGGCCGAGUGGUUAAGGCGGUAGAUUCGAAAUCUACUGGGUUCGCCCGCGCCAGUUCGAAUCUGGUCGCUGACG